RNAcentral lists this long non-coding RNA (967 nucleotides) under Astyanax mexicanus (Mexican tetra). Its description in RNAcentral is "lncRNA (ENSAMXG00005023768.1)". The record is from RNAcentral. Lineage: Eukaryota; Metazoa; Chordata; Actinopteri; Characiformes; Acestrorhamphidae.
CUAGUGGAGACCCCGCCCACAUAUCCCACAGCUCAGUACAGCAUUCUACCAUAGCUUCCACGGGACAUGCCAAAAUUCAUGGGACACAAUAUGCAUUGUAAUUGUAUGUAUGAUGUUUUAAUACUAAACUUACAGAAUAACAGACAGAAAGAAAACAAAAGACAGAAAAAGAAGAAAGUAGAGAGAGAGAGAGAGAGAGAGAGCCAGAGUUAGACAGAGAGAGAGAGAGGUGGAGGAGAGAGGGAGAGGCGGAGGGAGGGAGUAAAGAAAGAAGGGAAGGAGAAAGGGAGGAGAGGAAAAGACAAAGAUUGGGACCAGAGCUGGAGAACAGAGGGAAUCUCUCCAUCGCUUUGAUUGGUCAAGACCCAGCAGGAUGGGCAGCUACCCAACCGCUGUGCUCCUGUGCUGUUUCUAUGGACUGGUCAUGGUCUUGGCCCAGCAGCCGGGUAGGCCAAACAUCCUGAAUAGUUUUAUUUAAGAGUUUAAUUAAAUUAUUACGUAAACUUUAUUAAAGUUCCAAACUGUCUGUACUGUCUGAUCUGUAGUCCAAACAAAACUGCUAAAACAGCCUGCUGGGAACUGAUCACAGCUGUGAUGUCAUAAUGUUUAUUAAUAGUUUCAUAUUGGAACAGUGUAAUAAUAUGUAAAUGAUGUAUGAUAAUGUGUAUAUAUUCUGUUUAUACAGCUGGAAAAAAGAGACUAUUCAGUUUCUGAAUCAGUUUCUCUGACCUCAGUUUCUCAGACCUUUAAUAAUGAAAACAAGUUCAUAUUCAUAAAGUUUUAAGAGUUCAAAAAUCAAUAUUUGGUGGAAUAACCCUGGUUUUUAAUCACAGUUUUUAUGCAUCUUGGCAUCAUGUUCUCCUCCACCAGUCUUACACACUGCUUUUGGAUAACUUUAUGCCACUCCUAGUGCAAAAAUUCAAGCAAGCAGUUCAGUUUGGUUUGAUGACUUGUGAUCAUCCAUCUU